Marmota flaviventris (yellow-bellied marmot) is the source of this 695-nucleotide non-coding RNA. The record is from RefSeq and is a predicted model, not a curated record. Lineage: Eukaryota; Metazoa; Chordata; Mammalia; Rodentia; Sciuridae.
GCCACAGCCCCAGUCCCUUAAUUUUAUUUUUUAAAUGAGUGAUUAUCUAUGAAUUCAUAAACAUUGCUUAGGGAAUCCAAGUACUGAGCCAGAACAAGCAGCAAUAGCAAAUGGCAAAGACACCAGAUUGAAAAAUCUGGACUUACAGUUCAAGAGCUGCCAACCUGUUUAAUGAAAUAGCAAAACAAAACCAAUGAAGCUUUUGAUUUAAUUGUAGGAACUUAAGAGUUAUUCAAAUAUUUCCCAGAGAACUACAUAGAAGAACAACUGCACUUCAUGUUUACAGUUCACAGCCUAAGAAUUGAAAAACCUGGAGGCUGAAGGUGAAGAAAGAGCCCCUCUUGAGUGAAGGCGGGUCUUCUGAAACCAAGAUCUUUUAGUACACAUAAAAGUCAUAAGCCCUUGUAACUCUAAAAAUAGCUUCUGUUCAGUAAAUGCUAUGUACCAACUUGUAUAGCUUCUGAUUAAAGAUCAAUUUUUUGGAUGGAAUAUGUGUAUUUAUGUGAAAGCUUGUACCUAAAAUAGGUUUGAAUAGAAGACCAUACAUUGUCUUUCGAAAUUAAAACAGGAAAAAAGAUUUUUUUUCAUUAUUGCUUUUCAUUUUAAUGAUGGAAACUAGUGCUGUAUAAUGCAUAUUUUUCCAAUAUUAUGUUUAACACCCAUUUAAUAAGAUGAUUUAUACAUCCCAUUUUAAA